Molecule: long non-coding RNA, 1002 nt
Organism: Culex pipiens pallens (northern house mosquito)
Lineage: Eukaryota; Metazoa; Arthropoda; Insecta; Diptera; Culicidae
Exons: 2
Source: RefSeq, a predicted model, not a curated record
GCUCGGGGGUUAAAGUUUACAUGGAAAUUACUAUGGGAAAUGCGCGAUUUUGCUUCAAACGCUCCUACAGGCUAAGCGACAAACUUUAACCCACACUUACACUAGGUAGCCGUGUCGGGGGUGGUCCAAGGAACAUUUUUCUCUAAGGGUUCAUGGUCAUCCGUUCAACCCUGAGCUUGCGCAAAGCCGAAACAUCCGGCGACGCCGCAAUCCUUCUAAAUCCCGGUUUUAACGGUCAACGCAUGCUACGAAACUUUGAUUGAAGCAUCAAAUGAAUGAAUGAGAAACACGACGCCAAACGUCAACUUGCUAAAAUUUAAACAACGGUUCGCCGUCGAUUUCGCUGGCCCGUCGGCAAAUACAGCGCAAGUUGGUUUCCGGAAGCACGCUGCAAAAGAAAGUGACAUGACGAGCUGGCCACACCAUAGCGGCAGAAUUUCAGUGCGUACCCGCGGAUGCCAGUAGCAGCGUCAACCGAAAAAAGUUUCAAGUUGGGGGAGAAAGAGCAGCAGCUGCAAGGUUCGAACAAGAAGGUCUCAAAUCGACAGUUGUGUCGUGAGAACGCAGAAAAUCAACAACGCUGACCAACAUGCAAAUGAGUUGCAGCAAAAUCUCCAGCAUCCUGUAAACGCCUGCAAAACCGACAAAAGUUGGGGAGCUGUUGCCACAGAAGGGGGAGGAAGGCGGCCAAUCCAACACAGAAAUGAUCACCGGCAAGGCAGGAAAGAUAAUCUGGUCCAUCAAUGCUCAGUCAAAGGGCGUUUCAGGGACGCAAACCGGAUGAAGCCAGAACUAACAUGUACCGUGAUGUACACGAUGGCCACCAAAAUAUCCGUGCGGGAUGUGGAUCAACAAGAAUCACAUCCGGGACGAAGAUCGUGAACCGGUGAUGGAAGUCAUUGUAUGGCCGAUCAAUUUUAUCGCGUCACAUACGAAAUAGAUGUCACGAAUGUAUUUAUUAUUUUGUGGUUGAAAUAAAUUCAUAAGCAUUUUUUUUCUUGA